UACGGAGGAUCCAAGCGUUAUCCGGAAUCAUUGGGUUUAAAGGGUACGUAGGCGGUUUUGUAAGUCAGGGGUGAAAGCCCAUCGCUCAACGGUGGAACGGCCAUUGAUACUGCAAAACUUGAAUUAUUGGGAAGUAACUAGAAUAUGUAGUGUAGCGGUGAAAUGCUUAGAUAUUACAUGGAAUACCAAUUGCGAAGGCAGGUUACUAUCAAUAUAUUGACGCUGAUGGACGAAAGCGUGGGGAGCGAACAGG
This 253-nucleotide ribosomal RNA is filed under the name uncultured bacterium. Its description in RNAcentral is "partial 16S ribosomal RNA". It matches the Rfam family "Bacterial small subunit ribosomal RNA", at positions 524 to 776 of the family's 1533-position model. The record is from RNAcentral.